GCAAAGAAAGUUAUUUCAAGCGCAGCCUUAAGAAAACGGUGUCAUGGGUAGGACGCAAAGCAUUAGACAAACCUGUUUACAGAGAAGAAUACCAUUUGACACCGAAAAACAGGAACCUUAGAAGCAAAACCAUGGUUCUCAAUGGAGCUCCAUUGGAGAUUACUAAGGACGGAAACAUCCCAGAAUUGGAACCUGCUCGUGUCCUUGCAAAUUCUCCGCUAACGAUCAGCCCUUUGUCCAUCAAGUUUGUAGUGUUGCCUUACUUUGAUGCUCAAUACGCUUGUGCAUGAUUUCUCUGUACUUGACCCUUGGUCAACUAGCAUACACCUAAGUUGCAGAAUUUGUGAGCCAAUGGCAAUUGUAAAAUCUGUACAAUAAACAAAAAAUAUUCUCAGCACAUAUUUCAUGCGGAGAAUAAGCUGAAAGAAAAGGGAGAAGUUUAUAAUAACUUAUGUUUCAUAUUGUCUUUAAUCUUCUAAUUUAUCUGAUGAACACCUCCAGAGAAUUUGUAAUAAGUUAUUUAUGUUUAAAUUUAAUAAUAAAUAUUUCUUAAAAAUUUUAAAAAGGAAAGAAAAAGGAAAUUGUUUUUGUUUUCUUUUCAUAAAACGACACAUAAAAACUGUUUUACAAACCUACAUUAUAAUGGGGUUUAAAUGACAGUGGCAUGUCCGUCAAUAAUUUGAGUUUUAUAACUAGAAAGAUCAGAGAACACAGUCUCCUAGAUGUACUCAAAUGACUGGAACAUAAGGGCGCCACAAACCACCAGGCAUUCUGAUCAAUUCAAGUCUCAGCUGAUCCAGCAGGUCCCGUUUGACAAAAAUGCCACCCCCAAAAUUCAAGCAGAUCUUCAACCCCCUCAAUGACCUACAGAGGAAAUAAUGAAUUUUCUUUUUACGUUCUCUCUGGAAUAGCUCAUCAUAGAUCAAACCCCAAUAUAGCAAGAAGUAGCUCAUUCCAUAAACCAUAGCCCAUUCCCUAUGAAACUUGGGUUCUUCGUUGUAUCAUUUGCAGGACUCCGAUUUCUUGAACUUCCAUUAAUUCCAAUUUGUACGACAUUAACUGCCACCGCAUGAAAUAAAACAAAAACAAAAACAAAACAAAAUUAACAUGCAUGUAAAGGGCAUCUAGAAAAUCACUUCAAGCUAAACUGGCCUAGGAAAUAAUAUGAAGGAUUUGAUGCGUUCAGAAGGACUAUCAGGAACAACCCUAUACCAGUCCUAAAAGUUAUUAGUGCAGGAUAAUACAAAAAUAAAAAUAAAAAAUUUUAAAUUAUAUAUAUUAAACCACAAUUAACCAUAGAUAUAUAAGGGAGCACAAAUCAUCAAACAGAUCAAACAAAAUGUCAAUGAAACUCGAAUUUUUUCGGACAGGCUUAACCCUGUUUGGACUUAAUGCAGAUUGCACACUAGGGUUGGUUGGUUCUCACAAAUGUCUACUGUGCUUGUUUCCCUAUUUCUACAAUUUUUUUCGUUUCCUACGUGUAUAGAAGAAGAAAAAAAAAAACCCUAUGCGACUACAGAUAUGCUUGAUGUCCUACACUGAGGGCAACAGAAUCUGCAUACUUUACCAACAUUGGAAGCAAAUAUCCCCUCAUGUUGAAACCUUUCCUUCCAAUCCAUACUCUGCAUUACGAAAAAUCAGCCUAGGCGGCAUGGGCGGGUCUGAGCGGCGCUAGGCGGGUCUGGGCGGCGCUAGGCGGUUCUGGGUGCCAGGGUGGGUCUGGUUUCUUUCAUUGGUUCUUUAAGCCCACUGCCUAGCGAUUUUUCAAACUUAUGCACUGCAGGGCUGGUCUAGGCGGCGCUGGGAGGGUCUGGGCGGCGCUAGGCUGGUCUAGGCGGGUCUAGGCGGCAGUAGGCGGGUCUAGGCGGCCCUAGACGGCUCUAGGAGGGUCUAGGCGGCGCUAGGCGGAUCUGGGUGCCAGGGUGGGUCUGGUUCUUUAGGGUUUAGGGUCUGCGUUUCAGGGUGUGUCUGAUUCAUAUGGGGAGAUGAUCCUGACCUGGAACUGACAGAACCUCCACCUGAUGUUGGUAAUAUCUUGGUUCUCUCGUAUAGAGCAGCAACAUGUACUAUUUAGGGUUUGAGGGUGUAUAUAUAAAGGAGGAGGGCUGGGGUUUUUUCAAGGGCGCAACAUAGAGUGGAGGAGUGAGUGAGGUGGAGGCAUAACGUGAGAUGUAAGCAAGAAAAGCUGAGCUGAAGCUUCGAAAAUGGAGAAAAUCAGGAGAGAGAGGGCCUCACAGCUCACGUUUUGCUUCGCAGCACGUCAUAACAGAACCAUAUAUAGGUCGGAGGCUCAGGCGGGCCCCAGCUAGCUCCAAAUCAAAAACCCCCAAAACCCCAAGUUCUUUUAUAAAAAUCAAAAAUUAAAAAAACGAAAGGUUGGGGUUUAUGCUUGGGAUUGGGAUGGAACUUGGAGAGAGAGAGAGAGAGAGAGAGAGAGAGAGAGAGGAGAGAGAGAGAGAGAGAGAGAGAGAGAGAGAGAGAGAGAGAGAGGCGUUUUAAGGGUGUGCGCUUGUUCGUUCGUCUCCUUUUCUCAUUUAGGUGGUGAGUAGAUCAUCAUUGCAGAGAUAUAGUGAAUCUUAUAAUGCAACAGUGAUAUGUGUAAGGAACCCUGAUGAAUGAACUUGAAGUCAUUUAGUUUGAAAUUUACAUAUAAGCUAACUUUCCUUCAGGUUAUUAAGAAUCUGACAGGUGGAGGGGCUGAUUACUCAUUUGAAUGUAUAGGUGACACUGGAAUGUAUGGUAACUACUGCUUUGCAGGCAUGUUGCGAUGUAAAUUUCUCAUAUCUCAGUGUUUUUCUUUUUCCCCUAAGCCUAUCUCAUAUUUAUUUUUGUGUAUGUGAUGAGUUCUUAUUUAUUGAACUUCACUCAUUUGUAUCUGGCGUUUCUUUGAAGGGAUGGGGGUUGACAGUUACACUUGGUAUGCCAAAAGUGAAGCCGGAGGGAACAGCUCAUUAUGGAAUAUUUCUCACUGGAAGAACAUUGAAGGGAUCUCUAUUUGGAGGAUGGAAACCUAAAUCUGAUCUCCCUUCAUUAGUAGAUAUGUACACAACAAAGGUAAAACUAACUAAAACUUCAUUGAAGCUUCAGUAAGUCCAAUCUCCCUUCUAAUAUUAAGUGUCCUUUUCCCUCCCAUUGUUGUAAAAUUUAAUGUGUACCAUGUAGCUGGAAAAUCUGCUGACAAUGUUUAGUCCUGGUUACAAGAAUGCGAUAGGGCAUGCCCAAACAAUUUAUCAUGUCUUAGUUUGAUAAAUGUCUAAUGUACGAACUUAUCAAAUCAUCUUGUUUGAAGUAGUAGGGUUAUAAUCUGAAUUUCGCUUAGUAUCAAAUUCUUAGGUUGAAUUUAUAAACCAUCUACAACAAGUUUCUCACUGUUAUUUCUUCUAUGUUAAACUAUUUCUUUCUUCAGCUUUAAAGGUGUGUAUGCUAAGAAAGCAUGCCAAUUUGCAGCCAGUAUGAUGCUAAAUUCUUUUGUUUUAUUUCAUGUUAACAGUUGAUCUCUGUUUUAAACAGCUGACAUGUUCCCAUUGACCGAUCAUGAUUAUUCUUCUAGUUUAAGAAAAAAAAUAUUUACUUGUUAUAUUUUUCAAUCCCCAAAAUAAAAUGCACAGCCUGUUUGAAUUCCAAAAAAUCUACCUGCAGGAAAUCCAAGUCGACGAGUACAUAACACAUAACCUGCCAUUUGAAGAUGUCAACAAAGCUUUCAAUCUCAUGAGAGAAGGGAAGUGUUUGCUUUGUGUUAUCCACAUGGCAAAGUAAUUUCUCUUCUUCUGUCAUAUUGAAGUUGCCUUGCCUGGAUACACGUGAGACAGUUAAUUUUACAAUAUUGUUCUGAUAAAAUAAAGUAAGUUUCAUAUGAAUUCUGAAAGUGGGUAUUUAUCUGUGGGCAAUCUACUCGAAUCUCAAGCCUAUCGAUCUCACAAAACCCGCCGUAUUACUUGUUUGUUACUAUGUUAAAACUAUUCUUAAAGUACUUAUGGGCAUGCACACUAGCAUUCUAUGGGAUUUGAGAAGACAGUUUUAAUUCAAUCUUCUUGGUCCAUACGUGCAGCGUUUUUGAUGGGUGAACAAAACCCAUAUGGUUUGAAGUAUCAAAUUAACAAGAGAGAGAGAUUCCUUUCCCCCUUUUUUUUUUUUUUGUUUUUUUUUUUUGAGGUACAAUCGAUAGUCUAAAUUAGAGGAGAUGGAGAUUUCUCACAGACACCCACACACAAUGAUGCCAUGUGGAUUCGAACCUGUGACCUAUGAUCUGCAAGUCAAGACCUUUUUCCAUUGGGCUAUACCUCAUUGGUGUUUAUGGUGUAAAAUGACUACCACACCCAUGGAAAUGGUGACAUGUGCCAAACACAUGAUUUCUUUUUAUGGAAAAACUAACUAAGAGAUGAAGGCAAAUAACAUUUUUUUUCUUCAAAUGUUAUGUUUUAAUGUUUUUAAGUUAAUUCAAUUUUUUAUUAAUUUCAAAAAGGUUUAUAGGUUUUUAAAGGACAAAAAAAAAAGGGUGUAUAAUGUUUAUUUAAUGGUAAACUUAACGGAUUGGACCAUAUGGGCUCAUAGUGCUAAACAUCAGACUAAAUUGGCUAAAUUGAAAACACAUGGACUAAAUUGGCAUACAUGGUAAAACAUAAGGAUCAUUUUGAUAUUUAAGCCUUUUAAUUAAAUCCAAAUUAAAGUUCAGAAGGUGAACGCUAUUUCUUUUGAGAAAAAAAAAUAAAAUAAAAUAAAGACAAAUGGGUUCAAAUUCAAUAUCCCUCUUAUUCAAUUUUUAAGUGUUUGCUUUUGCUAGCUAACUAUUGGAAUUUCGCAGGAGCACGUUAAGUUGCAAGUGUCUCAAAACUAGGGCUUUUAUAACAGACAAGGAAAUGUGGUAGUUCAAGUAUGUGUUUGAGGGUAAAAGCUUGUCUGAAAUUCUCCCCAUUUCAUAUUAGGGCUCGCAAUUCAACCACUAAUCCCAAUUUUUGAAGAACCCUAAACUCAAAUGACCAAUUUCAAGCCCCAAUAUGAAAUUCAGGGAGUUUCAAAUGAGCUUUUAUGCUCAAAGAUUUUGGGUUGACGAAAUUGCCCUUUGCACCGUCGAAGAAAUUGACAUGAGUACUAACUUGUCCUUGAAUUGCUACAAAUACGAAACUAUAGGGUCAAAAUUGACAGAAUUGAAACUAUAAAGUCAAAAGUAGUUGAAGUGCCAAACUACAGGGACCAAAAGUGACUGAAGGGUAUAUUUCUUUUCCUUAUCUAUAAAAAGCUAAAACGGGCAGUUUCCUUGGAUUUAUAUCUAUUUACUCAUUUGUGGUCAUCUCAUCAAUGGCGAUCCAGGCGUGCCAUGGUUGCAGAUAAACAUGGAGUCAACCCACAUCGCCUCAAGUCAUGUACAAGAUAGAAUCCUAUGAAAAUAGGAGAUACGAGUGAUCCAAUAAGAUUUAAUCGUAGAAAAUGUAUUAUUUCAGUUUAUCCUUAAAAAAAUUAUGGAAGUUGGAACCAUAACUAGUAAUUUUACGAACUUCUCAAAUCCGACUAACGCAAAAGAGCAAAGUUGGUUUAUCAAUGGUAUAUCAUCAAUUUUUAUGUUUUUAAGAAGGAAAUUAAUCAUGAAAUAUUUGACCAUUCGAUACAAGAGUUUUAGGACAAAUCUUUGAAAGGAAUUAAAACUAUUUUCUAGAGAAUAACCACGUUAUAUUUUCGGAGCUUCUCAAAUUUAGUUUUUUCUUCAAUACAUAUUUAACUUAGGAAUAUAUAUUUUACCAUUUCCUACCUUUUACUUUAUAUAUAAAUUAAGAGCAACUUUUCGUCAUGACAACAAACAAAGCAAGAAUACAAAAGUAAGCUUUGAAUUUGAUUGCAAACCAGAGUCAAAAAUUAUAAAAAUACUACAAACUUAAAGACAUUCUCUAAAGCUAAAGCAAAAACCUGUCUUCUAGGAGAAGAACAUUUGGUGUUCGCAUAACGUAUGGGUAAAGACAAAGCUGUGAAAAAAUAAAAAAUAAAAAAUAAAGCCACCUUCCAGAUCCUAUAUUAGUAUGUUAAAUUAAAGAAUAUGUGCUAACCAAAAGCUCUCACUUUUUACAUUAAAAUAACAAUAUCAUACUCUCUCUGGAAUCUACCUUUCCCCUCUCAAAUUAUACUUAACCGUUUCUCACAUGUAGCCUCUGUUUUUCUUUUGUCUUUUUUCCCAGAGUACACCGCAACAGUGUGCCAUGGAACCAUAUGAACAGUUCGUAUGCUUAAAUAAACUAAAACGCGAGCUCAGCGAUCCUCAAUUAGUCGCUAAAUGAAUGUCACUUUUCCAAGCUGGACCCAUUUCCCAUCACUGUUUCGUGUCUCCGAAAGGUCCAGCAAUGCCAACAACUCCAAUUGGGGGACAGAGAAAGCUCGCUUUUUAGCUGCGAAGCAUCACAUAAUUGAUGUGCUCUAUCUGAAGGCGUUUGCUUUGAGUUUGUGCUUCCACAAUGGCAUUGUCAAAGGUAAAUUUUUAGUUUUUGAGCUUAAUUUUCAUUUGGGUUAGCCUUAUUUUGAUCAGUAGGUGUCUGGGUUGCUUUGGUUUUAGUUCUUCAGAUGCUGAUUCUUGAAAUCUAGAUAUAUGUCUCUAAGGAAAAGCUUUUUUUCUUUUGGCUUUAUUUGUGGUAACUCUCAACUGGGUUGUCCAUGUUUGUCUUGAAUUUUGUUAUUUUGGUGGGCAGCCAUGGAUAAACACCCACCGUCUUCAUUUAUGAUAAGCUCUGGUAAUCGGUGAAAUACUCUUCUUCUCCUUCACAUCUAUAUAUAGUCUUUUGAUGUUAUAUCUUGAAUUUGUACUUUUGAAUCGGAUUCUCUUUAUCUAAUGCAACUGGUAAAUGUUGGUGCGUUGCUUUUACCAACAAUUAAUGCGAAUGAAGGUUCAUUCAUGGCAUUGGCAAUGCAAUGCCAUCAUUCAUAUAGACAUCCCCUAGUUCGAAUUGGUUCAGUAUUCAUCCCUUGUCUUCCUUGGUAGUGUUUGUUAUUCCAACUCACUUCGGAUUUCCUUGGAAUUUCCAGUGAGCUAACCAUCACUGGAUCUUCCUCGGAAUCCUAAAUCUGGUUUUACGAGAAAAUAGUAGCUUCUGGUACUAAUUAUCUUUACUUUUACGUCCCAAAGACAAUGCAUUUCUUUCUCUGUUGCAGUUUUUCAAAUGUUACUUUUUGCUUACACUGAUUUUCUAUGCAAAAUUUAGCUUUAUGUAUUUAUAAGCUCUUUAGAAACUGAAAAUAUGAAGAAUAGUACAUGUCUCUUGUCAGUCAAAUGACCAUUACAGAUUCUUUGUUUUCUUUUCCAUUUGCACUAAUGAAUCUCCUCCUCUCCAUCCAUUAUUAGUGAUAGCAUUACCACCUCAGCUAGUAGAUGUCGCCUCAUCAGGUGCCAUGUCAACAGCCAGAGAAGCGUCUGCAACUGAAGAAUCUUCUAGAAGUCUUCCUAGUUAGUUACACAGUCAAAGUUGUUAAAAUUUGUUGACAGCAGUCAUAACUAAUCAUUAGGUAAUUUGUUAAACUCAUCAUAGAUUAGUUAAGCUCAUUAGGAUAAUUUGUUAGCCUUUACGUAUAAAUAUAAAUGUCCCUGAUGUAAUUGUGAUUCAAUGAGUUUAUCUUUUCUUGCAGUUAAUUUGGAUUGGUUGAGGUGGUAGCGAUACUGGCACAAUUGAAUUUCCUAUGGAAUUCCGUCUCUCCUUGGUUCUCAUUCUGGUUUCUCUCCCUGCAAUUUUAGCUCAAGAUGUUGGGAAUACUAAAAAAGCUGGAAAUGUUAAGGUUGUGGUUAAUGGGAUUUUAGCUAUUGCACGAGUUGAUAAUAAUUUCAUCUGUGCCACUAUUGAUUGGUGGAAUCAUGAAAAGUGCGACUACAACCAGUGUCCAUGGGGAUCUGCAUCUGCGUUAAAUUUGGUAAGCACCCAGAGAUACCUCUGUAUGCAUUUGCUUUUUUCUUUUUCUGUCAAAUAGUAAGAAGGGGAGUAUGAAGUUAAAUUAAUACUGUGGUUUUCUUUUCUCCAGAACUUGUCUCAUCCUUUGCUUGCCAAGUCAAUCCAAGGUUUGUCUAUCUGUGUUAAUAAGUUCACAUCUUUUGGACAAUACUAUUUAUUUUUAAGUUAGAAUCAAGUGUCAAUUAGAACAGAUGAAUUAAAGUCUUCUGCUUAUGUUUGUUUGAAUAACUUUAUCUACAAACUAAAUUUACUCUUCAACAUUGGUGGCUUGAUAGCUUUCAAUCAGUUAAGGAUCAGAAUUGGAGGUUCCUUGGAAGACCAACUCUUGUACGAUGUAGGAAAUUUGAAAUAUCCUUGCCAUCCAUUCAGAAAGAAGAGUCAUGGCUUGUUUGGAUUUUCUAGAGGAUGUUUACCUAUGAGUAGAUGGGAUGAACUGAACCAAUUUUUCAGUAAGACAAGGUAAGAUUCGGGUUAUCGACUUUCCUAUCCCAACCAAAUUUUAUUUUACUUUUAUAAAAAAGUUGGGUCUUCUCCAUCUUCGUUCCUCAAAAUUAGGUGGUUGAUGCUUGAUUUAUCAUUUAUCUUAGAUCGUGUGUCUGAGGAACAUCUUUACUAUGUUGUUGUCUAUCCUAACAAAUCUAAAAUAAAAAAGUCUUCAUUGUGUCAAAUGCAUAUUGGGAGAAUCUCUAAUUGUUUAGAAGUGUAAAACUUUCUUCAGAGGUCCAACAACUUUCACUGGUUGUAUUAUUCAAAAAUUCAUGGCAGAUAGCCUCUUUGUUUAAGAAAAGAGGAAAGAUAAGGAGGGGUUGGUGUGUGUGCGUGGACGUAGAGUGGAGAGGGCUUGAAUGCUUCCUUGUGCUGACCUAUUAUUUAUGUCUUAUGUUUUCAGGCCCAUCGUCACAUUUAGCUUGAAUGCACUGUCAGGGAGGCACCACAAAAGCGGGGGUGUUUGGGUUGGAGAUUGGGACUCUAGCAACGCUUAUGAUUUUAUUAAUUAUACCGUUUCGAAGGGAUACAAGAUAGAUUCAUGGGAAUUCGGUAUGGAACAAUAGACAAGUCUCCUUUUCUUCCCUCGUUCUACUUUGCCGUCACUUAUGUUCAUGUUACUUUAGGUAAUGAGCUCAGUGGUCGUGGUGUUGGAGCUAGUGUUGGAGCUGAACAAUAUGGAAAAGACUUGAUCAAGCUUAAACAUAUUAUCAACCAGUUGUACAAUAAGUCCCGCACUAAACCUGCACUUGUGGCACCUGGAGGAUUCUAUGACCAAGCAUGGUUUGCCAAGCUUCUUCAGGCUUCUGGUUCAGGGAUAGUCAAUGUUAUCACUCAGCAUAUGUACAAUUUGGGUGCAGGUAAAUUCUGUUAAGACUUUUAAUAAAUGCACAGUUUAUAUAUGCUUAAAUAGUACUCUUUUGAGGUAUAGUAAGUAUUCACACACGGUAAGCCCCGUAUGCAUAAAUUAUUUUCCUAUUUCCCCUCUGCUUUGACAAUUUAGCUGUGAUUGUCAGGUGUUGAUCCCAAGUUGGUGAGCAGAAUUUUGAAUCCCGGUUACUUGGACCUUGCAUCUGGAACAUUCCAUGAUCUUGCGCAAACGGUGAAAAAGAACGGCCCUUGGGCUUCUAUAUGGGUCGGAGAGUCUGGAGGGGCUUAUAACAGUGGUGGUCGUAAUGUGUCUGACACAUUUGUGAACAGCUUUUGGUAAUCUUGAUUGUCACACUACUUGAAACAUUAUGUAUUUUUCAUUGCAAGCUUUUGAUUGUAGAAACAGAGAAAUUUACCAUUGUUCACUGUAUUGUUGUGUAAUCAACAAGCCAGAGUUACUAUUUAUAUAUGAAUUUCAGGUACUUGGAUCAGCUUGGAAUGUCAGCCAAGUACAAUACCAGAGUAUAUUGCAGGCAGUCACUAGUUGGUGGAAACUAUGGUCUCCUCAACAGAACGUCAUUUGUUCCGAACCCUGAUUACUACAGGUAAAGCAUGGGUGGGGUAUAAGAAGGAUUUUCUUUUACUUGAUAUACUACUUAUCAAAAACUGAUUUUUGUUUUUGUUUUUUUAUAUUCUGAAUAGUGCGCUUCUAUGGCAUCGACUUAUGGGACAAGGUGUUCUUGCUGUUAACAGCAAUGCUUCAGCAGAUUUACGCAUUUACGCCCAUUGUGCAAGAGGAAGAGUAAGUCUGCUUUGUAGGAAGAUUUUGUGCCAAGCAUAUAAAAGGAAAUAAAAUUGGUUCAAAUUCAUAGGAAACCAGGAAUACUAUUAAGUCUAGCAACACUACUAAGCCUAUAUAAAACAUGAAAAUAUUGUAGUGAACGUCCCUUGUAACUGCCUGAUAGCGCAAUAACUUAACAGAAUUCUAAUUUUGACACUGAUCUUACUCUUACUGUUUGCAGGCGGGUAUAACUGUAGUCCUUAUCAACUUAAGCAAUGACACCGAUUUCAUUGUCAAUGUUGAAAAUAUUUUGGACUUCAAUUUGGGUGCUCACGAGAGAAACAUUAGCAAAGAAAGUUAUUUCAAGCGCAGCCUUAAGAAAACGGUGUCAUGGGUAGGACGCAAAGCAUUAGACAAACCAGUUUAUAGAGAAGAAUACCAUUUGACACCGAAAAACAGGAACCUUAGAAGCAAAACCAUGGUUCUCAAUGGAGCUCCAUUGGAGAUUACUAAGGACGGAAACAUCCCAGAAUUGGAACCUGCUCGUGUCUUUGCAAAUUCUCCGCUAACGAUCAGCCCUUUGUCCAUCAAGUUUGUAGUGUUGCCUUACUUUGAUGCUCACUACGCUUGUGCAUGAUUUCUCUGUACUUGACCCUUGGUCAACUAGCAUACAC
RNAcentral lists this long non-coding RNA (10727 nucleotides) under Prunus persica (peach). RNAcentral describes it as "long non-coding RNA (PPER_LNC005524)". The record is from RNAcentral. Lineage: Eukaryota; Viridiplantae; Streptophyta; Magnoliopsida; Rosales; Rosaceae.